Populus euphratica (Euphrates poplar) is the source of this 849-nucleotide long non-coding RNA. RefSeq lists it as uncharacterized. The record is from RefSeq and is a predicted model, not a curated record. Lineage: Eukaryota; Viridiplantae; Streptophyta; Magnoliopsida; Malpighiales; Salicaceae. The transcript has 2 exons.
ACAUGGUUCAAUCAUGAAUCAGUAACCCAUUGAGUGAAGAGAAGGAACCCCAAGAUAACUUGAAUAAAUUUUAUCCUGUCACAGCUUUGGGUAAAACCCAGAUCUCAGAGUAAACAUAACGAAGGAAUGAAUGAUAGAUGACUGAAGCAAUUACAGUCCCGGUACCAUGUAAACCAAUGGGAAGAAUAUAAUUCUAUGAAUGAAGAACUACCACUACACAUAAUAGCAUAAAAAAUAUUUAGCAGGUAGCACAAUUGUUACCAACAACAUGAUGAUUCCACCUUUGAAAAGAAGAUUCCAUAACGAUAAUUCAAAAUGGAACAUAAUAUAGUCUUCAAGGAAAAACCAAAUCGCAGUUCACAUGGAAUACAAAACUCUUGUAGAAUCAAAAAAAUGGGAUAGGAAGCUUCACAACCCGCCACUGAAGCCAUAUUUGAGUCCAAAGGUUACAGAGACACAAGUAAGAAGUCUAUAUAUGAUAGCAUUACGCCUAUAGAACACAGUGUCAUUAGUUAUUUGGCAGGAGUUGACCCCCUCACCAAACUCCAUCAACUUGAUCAAAGUUCACAGAGCAGCUUUCAACACCACCCUAUAAACCAGGUCACAUCCAUGAUUCAAGCCUAUAAGAUAACUCUCUGAAGCAAUCAGCUGUUGCUCUAUAUAAUUGUUGAGCAAUGAGAGACAUUAUUUCAUCAGAAUGUUCGAUCGAACCUUGAUUAAGCACAAAAUUGAUCAUUCCAUUUCUAUACCUCGAAGCUAUUGAUUACUUAAUUAUUCUUGAUUUCCCUAGAAUUAAUCAAAAUUCAUUAAAGAUGCAUUCAUCACCAACACCAAAAAAAUCUUGGAACC